GAAUUGAAAUCGCUAAUUGCAGAAACUUACUUUUAAUCGAAACCGCCAUUUAAGUUUGCAUUGCUCGAAUGCUCAAAGCAUUCUGUUGGGAAGCACACAGGUUAGUUCUUCCUCUCCCAUUUUAUACUGUUGUAUAUGUUCUGCUUGUGUCUUAUGAUACCUAUCUGCAUUAAAAAAAAAAUUAUCUUGGGGGACUUUAGUAUUGUUAAAACCCGCCUUUCUAUAUUUAGAUUUUGUUAAGCUGUCACAUUCUAUGAUAAGAUCAUUAGAGAAGUAUUUGAAUAAUGAUGGUGUAUGUGUGGUAAUCUUCUCUAAAAAC
Molecule: long non-coding RNA, 319 nt
Filed under: Nicotiana benthamiana
Lineage: Eukaryota; Viridiplantae; Streptophyta; Magnoliopsida; Solanales; Solanaceae
Description: long non-coding RNA (NBEN_LNC032581)
Source: RNAcentral